RNAcentral lists this ribosomal RNA (493 nucleotides) under uncultured Acidobacteriota bacterium. Its description in RNAcentral is "bacterial SSU rRNA". It matches the Rfam family "Bacterial small subunit ribosomal RNA", at positions 385 to 896 of the family's 1533-position model. The record is from RNAcentral. Lineage: Bacteria; Pseudomonadati; Acidobacteriota.
GACGCAGCAACGCCGCGUGGAGGAUGAAGGUCUUUGGAUUGUAAACUCCUGUCAGCAGGGAAGAUGAUGACGGUACCUGCAGAAGCAGCUGCGGCUAACUACGUGCCAGCAGCCGCGGUAAUACGUAGGCAGCAAGCGUUGUUCGGAGUUACUGGGCGUAAAGGGUGUGUAGGCGGUUGUUUAAGUUUGGUGUGAAAUCUCCCGGCUCAACUGGGAGGGUGCGCCGAAUACUGAAUGACUAGAGUGCGGGAGAGGAAAGUGGAAUUCCUGGUGUAGCGGUGAAAUGCGUAGAUAUCAGGAGGAACACCGGUGGUGUAAACGGCUUUCUGGACCGUAACUGACGCUGAAACACGAAAGCGUGGGGAGCAAACAGGAUUAGAUACCCUGGUAGUCCACGCCCUAAACGAUGCGCAUUUGGUGUAGGUCAUUCAGUUGAUCUGUGCCGGAGCUAACGCGUUAAAUGCGCCGCCUGGGGAGUACAGUCGCAAGGCUG